Oreochromis niloticus (Nile tilapia) is the source of this 1399-nucleotide long non-coding RNA. RefSeq lists it as uncharacterized. The transcript is spliced from 2 exons. Lineage: Eukaryota; Metazoa; Chordata; Actinopteri; Cichliformes; Cichlidae. The record is from RefSeq and is a predicted model, not a curated record.
CCCACCAACCUGCCCACUGUUUAUUCUCAUGUUGUUCUCUCUCAGUGCUCUUCUAUUCACACGGCUUUCUUCUCACUCCACUGGAAAGGCAGAUGGCUACUCGUCAGAGGCUUCUUGUUCAAAGGGACCUUUUUCUACCCUCUGUAGCCAAGUUCUUCCUCAUAGGAACUGUCACCUGUGAGAGGAGCUGGAAAAACCAGUCUGAGCCAAAGCAGCACCACUUUUGAGGACAACAGACGGGGUCUGCACAUGAGUGUGGCUUUCAUUGAUGUGCCUUAAAGUAACCAAAGCUCUCUGAUGGAGCUUGGAGUGUUUAAUUCAGCUCAGAUGCAUUCCUCAGCUUUUCUUUAUGCUUCAGCUCAGGUUCUAAUGAAAUGACCCUCGACCUUGUUUGUUGACUUUUGGAAGACAUUUCUACAAACCUGAACUCUGUUUUGGACAACAACAAAAAAAAAUAAAAAUUGUGUCACGUGUUCAGAUGCAAGUAGGGGUCACUCCUGCAGAUGGAUCUACAAUUAUCUGCUCCCAUUUUAUGAUCCUGGGUUUGAACUAGGACUCAUCUCUGUGCUCUAAACCAGCAGCAUAUUCAUGAAUAAUUCCUCUUCCUGAAAUGCAUUUCUUUAUCCUUCUUAUUUACACAGUGACUCAGUUCUUACAGUUCAUUGAAAAAGAAUUUGCCUGUGGUGUGAAAACCAGCUGCACAGGUGAAAUGCAUCAAAAGAAUAAAACCACUGACUCAAAUAUGAAGCUCCUUUAUUGCAUGUAGUGCCUGCCCUGCAACCGUCGUGGCUCCAGGGCACAACCUACCUAAUGUCUUUUGAAAGAAGUGUCAUAAAUUUGUAUAAACAUCAUUUAUGUGCGUGAAACGAUAAGGACGGCAGACAAUAGAUCUAAUAGAGACAGGUAUGAGCUCCAUUCAGCUUUCCCUCAUCCAAGUCACAGUAAUCUGAGGUUACUAAUCAACUAAUAACCAAACAAGUGCAGGGAUUAAAACACUUGAGCAGGUCCAUAGUACCUGAAAUUAAGUAUUUCCCAAAAUCAGGAGUUAAAUCAUCAUUCAGUUUGUUCAGUACUGCGCUGACUAGCUGCAAAAAUCCACCAACAGUUACACGCAGGUGCAGUUUAAAGGCUCCUUCAUGGGAUUUACGCUGUUUGUGAACAUGUAAAGAGUAAUGAAUAACCUCUGUGUAUUAAAAAGGCCGUGUACUUCAAGCUUGAAAUAUUACACAGUGUCCAUCCUCUUCAAUUCAUCUUCUUCUUACACUCAUCCAAUUCAGGGUCACGCAGGGGUUGGAAGGGAUCCCGAGUUUUUGGCGUGCAGGAGGAAGUCGGAGAGAACCCCUGGAAGCCCAGGGAGAACAGACAAACCCCAAACAGAGCCCCCUGCUGGCUGGUCAAA